CGUGAUUUUUGUCGACUAAUUAUCAGUUCUAUGAGCGCAGACCCUUUCAGGAUGUAAAUAGGUAACCUUGAAGAACAAGCGUAAUUUUUUAUCUCAGUCCUUUCCAAACUGUUUGCUAACGUUUUAAGCCGCGCGAUAACGGGAAAGCUGAUCAAUCAAUCGGUUCACUCUUUUUACAAAUUUCCCCGGCGAUCGAACUCGCUAGUUAACUGAUAUCUCUGCGAACACCAUAAACUCGAUUUAUCAGGCGAAAAUAUGUCUCUUCUAAACGCUACAACUUAUUGUUCCGAAGAUAGGCGCCGAUAAGUCUACUGCUUUUUUAUUUCUUCCAUUUUAUAUUUUCAUUAUAUGCAAGUUUCUAAUUGGCCUGAGUAACUGGCUGGAGGUGGUUCGACAGACGUUGAAGAGGGGAUUUGCGGCGUUAUAAAUUAUUUUGCGAACCUUGCAAGGUAGGUUUCCUCAUUUUUCUGCCUAUGGUAACCCGCUGUCGACGAAAUAUUUGCAACGCUUCUUGCACUACACGCUGCGUUCAACGAGUCUCAGCAACUUUCUAAGUACAAUGAGAAAUUGGUGCAGCGAUAUGCCAUUUUGGACGAGUAGUUUCUUCAUUUUUAUAAUUCUGUCGGCAACGACGUUAACGUUAUCGAAAUGCGAGACGAUGGACGAGCCAAAUAUAUCGGCGUCUCCGGGAAUUAAGAUGCGAUCGGACAAGGAAGUCAACUUUAGGUAUAUAAUCAAUCCGCCUCUAUUCAAAUGUCCCAAACAUCAGAAAAGGGAUCACUUGGGAAAGUGCAGAGACAUCCUUUGGAGUUCUUAAAAACGGCUUCCAACUACAAAAAUCGUGGAUCUACUUGCGAUAAUUUUCACCUUACGAGUAUUCUCCUCUCUCUUACGUUUGUAGCUACGACGAAAUAAAUCAUUUUGA
Molecule: long non-coding RNA, 925 nt
Organism: Bombus huntii
Lineage: Eukaryota; Metazoa; Arthropoda; Insecta; Hymenoptera; Apidae
Exons: 3
Source: RefSeq, a predicted model, not a curated record